GCAGUCGAACGGAGUUGAGGGGCUUGCUCCUCAAUUUAGUGGCGCACGGGUGAGUAACGCGUAGAUAAUCUGCCUGAUGAUCUGGGAUAACACUUCGAAAGGGGUGCUAAUACCGGAUAAGCCCACGGGGUCUUUGGAUUCUGCGGGAAAAGGGGGGGACCUUCGGGCCUUCUGUCAUCAGAUGAGUCUGCGUACCAUUAGCUAGUUGGUAGGGUAAUGGCCUACCAAGGCUACGAUGGUUAGCUGGUUUGAGAGAAUGAUCAGCCACACUGGAACUGAGACACGGUCCAGACUCCUACGGGAGGCAGCAGUGGGGAAUUUUGCGCAAUGGGCGAAAGCCUGACGCAGCAACGCCGCGUGAGUGAUGAAGGCUUUCGGGUCGUAAAGCUCUGUCGAGGGGAAAGAAGUGUAUUGUGGCUAAUAUCCACGAUACUUGACGGUACCCCUAAAGGAAGCACCGGCUAACUCCGUGCCAGCAGCCGCGGUAAUACGGGGGGUGCAAGCGUUGUUCGGAAUUAUUGGGCGUAAAGAGCGUGUAGGCGGUUUGUUAAGUCUGUUGUGAAAGCCCUGGGCUCAACCCAGGAAGUGCACUGGAUACUGGCAGACUUGAAUACGGGAGAGGGUAGUGGAAUUCCUAGUGUAGGAGUGAAAUCCGUAGAUAUUAGGAGGAACACCGGUGGCGAAGGCGGCUACCUGGACCGAUAUUGACGCUGAGACGCGAAAGCGUGGGUAGCAAACAGGAUUAGAUACCCUGGUAGUCCACGCCGUAAACGAUGAGAACUAGGUGUUGCGGGUAUUGACCCCUGCAGUGCCGCAGCUNACGCAUUAA
This 829-nucleotide ribosomal RNA is filed under the name uncultured bacterium. RNAcentral's name for it is "SSU rRNA". It matches the Rfam family "Bacterial small subunit ribosomal RNA", at positions 57 to 863 of the family's 1533-position model. The record is from RNAcentral.